CCUAUACAUGCAGUAGAACGCUGAAGAGAGGAGCUUGCUCUUCUUGGAUGAGUUGCGAACGGGUGAGUAACGCGUAGGUAACCUGCCUUGUAGCGGGGGAUAACUAUUGGAAACGAUAGCUAAUACCGCAUAACAAUGGAUGACACAUGUCAUUUAUUUGAAAGGGGCAAUUGCUCCACUACAAGAUGGACCUGCGUUGUAUUAGCUAGUAGGUGAGGUAAUGGCUCACCUAGGCGACGAUACAUAGCCGACCUGAGAGGGUGAUCGGCCACACUGGGACUGAGACACGGCCCAGACUCCUACGGGAGGCAGCAGUAGGGAAUCUUCGGCAAUGGGGGCAACCCUGACCGAGCAACGCCGCGUGAGUGAAGAAGGUUUUCGGAUCGUAAAGCUCUGUUGUAAGUCAAGAACGGGUGUGAGAGUGGAAAGUUCACACUGUGACGGUAGCUUACCAGAAAGGGACGGCUAACUACGUGCCAGCAGCCGCGGUAAUACGUAGGUCCCGAGCGUUGUCCGGAUUUAUUGGGCGUAAAGCGAGCGCAGGCGGUUUGAUAAGUCUGAAGUUAAAGGCUGUGGCUCAACCAUAGUUCGCUUUGGAAACUGUCAAACUUGAGUGCAGAAGGGGAGAGUGGAAUUCCAUGUGUAGCGGUGAAAUGCGUAGAUAUAUGGAGGAACACCGGUGGCGAAAGCGGCUCUCUGGUCUGUAACUGACGCUGAGGCUCGAAAGCGUGGGGAGCGAACAGGAUUAGAUACCCUGGUAGUCCACGCCGUAAACGAUGAGUGCUAGGUGUUGGAUCCUUUCCGGGAUUCAGUGCCGCAGCUAACGCAUUAAGCACUCCGCCUGGGGAGUACGACCGCAAGGUUGAAACUCAAAGGAAUUGACGGGGGCCCGCACAAGCGGUGGAGCAUGUGGUUUAAUUCGAAGCAACGCGAAGAACCUUACCAGGUCUUGACAUCCCGAUGCUAUUUCUAGAGAUAGAAAGUUACUUCGGUACAUCGGUGACAGGUGGUGCAUGGUUGUCGUCAGCUCGUGUCGUGAGAUGUUGGGUUAAGUCCCGCAACGAGCGCAACCCCUAUUGUUAGUUGCCAUCAUUCAGUUGGGCACUCUAGCGAGACUGCCGGUAAUAAACCGGAGGAAGGUGGGGAUGACGUCAAAUCAUCAUGCCCCUUAUGACCUGGGCUACACACGUGCUACAAUGGUUGGUACAACGAGUUGCGAGUCGGUGACGGCGAGCUAAUCUCUUAAAGCCAAUCUCAGUUCGGAUUGUAGGCUGCAACUCGCCUACAUGAAGUCGGAAUCGCUAGUAAUCGCGGAUCAGCACGCCGCGGUGAAUACGUUCCCGGGCCUUGUACACACCGCCCGUCACACCACGAGAGUUUGUAACACCCGAAGUCGGUGAGGUAACCUUUGGAGCCAGCCGCUAAGGGAUCG
This 1432-nucleotide ribosomal RNA is filed under the name Streptococcus thermophilus. Its description in RNAcentral is "bacterial SSU rRNA". It matches the Rfam family "Bacterial small subunit ribosomal RNA". Lineage: Bacteria; Bacillati; Bacillota; Bacilli; Lactobacillales; Streptococcaceae. The record is from RNAcentral.